UACAGAGGGUGCGAGCGUUAAUCGGAAUUACUGGGCGUAAAGCGUACGUAGACGGUUGGAUAAGUCGGAUGUGAAAGCCCCGGGCUCAACCUGGGAAUGGCAUUCGAGACUGUUCAGCUAGGGUGCAGAAGAGGGAAGCGGAACUUCCGGUGUAGCGGUGAAAUGCGUAGAUAUCGGAAGGAACACCAGUGGCGAAAGCGGCUUCCUGGUCCAGCACCGACGUUCAGGCACGAAAGCGUGGGGAGCAAACAGG
RNAcentral lists this ribosomal RNA (253 nucleotides) under uncultured bacterium. RNAcentral describes it as "partial 16S ribosomal RNA". It matches the Rfam family "Bacterial small subunit ribosomal RNA", at positions 524 to 776 of the family's 1533-position model. The record is from RNAcentral.